CUAGUGUUAUUUCCCCUAACCGAUCCCUCAAGGAUGAGUACAACUUGCCGGAAGGUGUAUUGACUUGCGGCAUCGUGCAAGGCAUGCCAAGGCCUCCACCUUUCAGCAGUUAAUUUAAAUAAGCUUAAAAAUCUGUAUCCAAUUAUGGUAUAUGGGGAGAGAGAGGGUGAGAAAAGCUGAGUUCUGUACAAUAUGUAAUGAAAUAAAAGCUUUUGGACCACUUUAUUGUUACUAAUUUUCGUGUGUUGCCCUCGAAUAUACACACAAUAUUUAAGUUAUUUUCAAUAUAAAAAAAACAGAUAUUUUCAAAAUUGUACAAUAUUUAAAGAUGAAUGAUUUAAACAUGGUUUAUACUACUAAUUAGUUUGAUAUGUUCAAAAUUGAUAUAAAUAAAUAAUUAAGUUAUAUUAACAAAGAAAUUUAAAAUAAAUAAUCUAUAUAUAUAUUUUUUGUUGAUAUACUUCUGCUUGGAACAUUGAUCUUCAUCAAUAUAAAUAAAUCAUUCUACUAUGGCGGUUCAACUUUUUGUUUAUUUUUAUUCAUUUAUUUUUGUAAAUUUCAAAAAAAAGUUAAGUCAUUGUGUACAAUUUAUACUUAAUUAAGUCCCUAUCAUUAAUUAAAAUAAUCAAUUAAGCCACGUAAAAUAAAUUGAUGGAGCAAUAGAUAGAGAUAGUAAUAGCUUCUAGAUUAAUCUAUUAUUUUUCCUAUAAAAAUAUUAAAAAAUUAAAAAAAUAUUAUCAAAAAUAUAAAUAUUAUUAAAUAUUAAAAAAAUAAAAUUGGUAUAAACUUAUAAAUUUUAAAAAAUUCUAAAAUUAAUAAAAAUAUAUUUAAAAUUUUAUAAAAAACAUUACAACUCUAUAAAAAUAAUAAAAAAUAUUAGAAGUAUUAAAUUUGAUAUAAAAUAAUAAUAACUUGAUUUGGGUUGGAUUAGUCAGUUGGACCGGUUAGACCAAAAUCGACAAGGAUAUCGAUCUAGAGAAAGCCAUUAGGCCAGUUGACAUUAGAACCGGAUGGUUGAACCGAUUCUUUAUCUUUUUAAUAUAUAUAUUUUAUUUCUUAAUGUUUUAUUUAAUUAAACUAGACGGAUCAGUGGAAGUGGUAAACCGAUGGCUUAAUUUAAAUUUUUUUGGAAAAGAUAUUAGAUUAAACUAUAAGCUACCACGUCUCAUCAUCUAAUUGGCCUACCAAUUUUUUUUAACAGUCAAUGUAAUCAAUUUCGAACAUCGUUAAAUAUUUUAAUUAAUGCCAAGAAUUUAAUUGGGUGCGAAUUUAAUAUAUGGAUAGACUUUUUGACAUAUAAACCUAUUAAAAAUAAGGUUAUUAUAUAUUAUCUCCCAAUAAUUACAUGGAAUAUUUGAAAUUCAAGCACUCCCUAGAUGACUUUGCUUGGAAACUAGCAUAAUUUAAGUUACUCUUCGCACGAAGAUGGACAAAUUGUGGAUGAUUAAGAAAUUGAAUAGUCUGCUAUGUUUGAAUAUGCUACUAUCUCGUUCUAAUAAUUGAAUUAUUUGAACAAAGUUGAGAAACAAGACCGGAACGUCAAGAAUCCAAGGACGAAUAAUGAAUUUGGUUUGUGAUCUCGUGUCAUAACUCAUUAAGUAGCUAAGUUUAAUGAAUUGAUAUUGAUGAAUGUUCUCAUAAAAGGCAUGUUAGCUUAAUUGACUUUGAUGGCAAUGGUUGUGAUGAUAUUCAUAUGUGUAUAUAUAUUUGUGAUGUGGAUUACGAUCAUGAAAAUAUUAUGAAAGGGAUUAAAGAUAUGUAAAUUUAUGUUUAAGGAUGUUAAGAAUGAGGACUAUUUUAGUAUUUUGGUGUAUUGAGCGUUAGGACAUAUCACUAACUUUAAUUCUUUGUUGGGUUAUUAAGUAAUUCAAUAUAUUAAUUUUUGCGUAUUCUCCAUUGAAUCUGAAAUCGAUUAAUAGGAACUAAAAUAUAAGUGUAUUAUGUGUCUAAGAUACAUAAGUGGUAUAUGAUUGAAAUCGAUUAAAAGGGACUAAAAUAUAAGUAUUAUGUGACUUAUGCUUAAGUUAUAAGAGACUCUGUAAGUCUUAGGAUGAUUUGAGAAAUAAGAUGACAUGUUUAAAUGGUAUCAAUUGUCUUUUUAUACCUUAAUGUCCGAUUUUCGUAUAUCUCAGAAUUUUCUCACUCGAAUCAAUUCGACUUUGUAACCAUACUCUAAGGCCUCAAACUAUCAAUAAAAUACCAUUUUUGUCCAAAGUUCUCAACAAUCUCAUUCAAGCUCUCAAGAACUCAUCAAUGGCUAUAUUAUCUAUGUCUAAUCAAGUCUUGUUUCUACACAUCCCACUUCAUUUCUAGCAUGUUUUCCACAAAGUUGAAGCUUAACACUAGAUAUUCAUGGAUUCAGGUUUUCAUUCUCUAAGUUCUCUAAUGCUUAGGCUAUGUUCAUCAAAGUAUCACAAACUAAGAUUUUAACAAAUUCAAGUGAAAAGUUCACCUUCCUUAGUAAUUUGAUGGACGAUAAUGGAAGAGUAACCUAAAGAAUUUCUUUCUUUCUUUUGCUUCUCUCACCAAUUGAACACACACACACACACAUAUAUAUAUACAUAAUUAAUCUAAUUACUCAUUAAUCUAAUGGCUGCAAUUGAGCUUAAAGAAUGGUCAAUAGAAAUGAAUGGCAAGGAUCAACGCAAGCCACUAACUAAGAAUAAAUCUUGGUUUAACAGUACUUAGGUUCUUGGCAUAAUUACCACUGACAAAUUUGUUUAAUUCUUAAAUCAAUUCUCUUUAUUUUAUUCACCUCACAAUUAGUCUUUGAUCAAUAAUUACUAUUCUUUCAAUCUAGUCCUUGUACUUAAUAAUUUAUCUAAUUUAAUCCCUUAAUAAUUCUAAUUUCUAAUUUCAUGUUCAUCUUGUAAAUGUCUUGAUUUAAGAUUUUUGGACUAGUUCGGCUUCGAGAAUUCAGCCCUGAAAUUGAAAUUUUUGACCCCAGUGAAAAUCAGAAUGUUAUAUGCAAACUGCUCAACAUCCUGCAAGGUCUCCAUAAUGGAUUUCUUCAUAUUUGUGUCAUUGUUGCUCAUGUCUGAUCCACCCCUGGUAUUCACUUCAACUGUAACAAUGGUCAUAUUCGUUGCCAUGAGUGAUGUGGAAAAAUUUGUUAAUAUUUCGUUAAGUAAUUUGAAAUGGAUCAUGAGUAAUUUGGUGGAAAGAGUUAAUAAAAUAAUUUCUCCACAUUUUGGGUGUUCAAAAUUUAAUUUAUUAUAAAAUCUCUUGUAGAUGAUGUCACAAAUGAAUUUGUCAUGUAUGCCUAAACUCUUGCAAAAAAAAAAAGAACUAAUUAUUUUUUUUUUCAAAUUAUUUUUUUGUGUCAUAAUUUAAGUUUUCAUAUAAGAAGGUUGGUUUCACUUUAAUACAAUUUCUAUUUUUAAAAAUUACAAUAGUUUAUCUAUAUUUAUAAUAAAAGAAUAACUAAAAAGGUAAAAGAAAAAAACUAGAGUAUUUUUCAUAGAAGCAACUACUUUCCUAAAGAAAAGGUUAGCCAUCCAUAGAGUGAAUAUUCAAAUCCUUGUGAUAACAGAGAACAAUGAUUCAAAAUUGUAAAACCAAAAAUGGAUUAGUGCUAAAAGCAAGGAAAUAAAUGAAUGGAUGAGCUUCUUCUAAGGGAUUAAGAUGGAAGAAUGGAAGAGGGGAUUGUGUGGUAUAAAAGGAGAGGUAUGCAUGCAAUUCAAAAUCAACUCAAGCAAACCAUCUUCCUCUUCCUCUAGAAGGGGAUAAUUAAUAAAUUACUGUCGGGCGAAAAAAAAGGGUAAGAGAUGGCUCGAUUAAUGUUAAUAUCGAUGCUAUUUCUCUUGGCAGGAUCAAUGCUUAUGGUCCAGGGCGGAGAUCCCACCCUUUUUUUCGAAUGGAACGUCACCUAUGGCACCAUUGCUCCCUUGGGAGUGCCAGUAAAGGGUAUUCUUAUUAACGGGCAAUUCCCGGGACCAAAUCUUAACUCUACCACCAACAACAAUAUCGUGGUCAAUGUGUUCAAUAACCUUGAUGAGCCAUUCCUUGUAACAUGGUAAGCGACUACCAAGAGUAGUUUCUUUUUUACAUUAAUAUGAUUAUGCUAGUGAAGAGUCGAGCUAAUUAUCUGUGGAAAUGGGAUUUGUUGCAGGGACGGCGUGCAGCAUAGGAAGAACUCUUGGCAAGAUGGUGUUCUGGGAACCAACUGUCCUAUCCCCCCUGGGAAGAAUUACACCUAUAAAUUCCAGGUGAAGGAUCAGAUUGGCAGCUACAUGUACUAUCCGGUGACGGCUAUGCACAAGGCGGUUGGUGGUUUCGGUGGCCUCCGUGUUAACAGCCGUCUACUCAUCCCUGUUCCCUACGCUGAUCCGGCUGAUGACUAUACUCUCUUAGUGGGAGACUUUUUCAACAAGGGACACACCAGCCUCAAGAAGAUUCUUGAUAGCGGUCGCAACCUUGGGAGAUGUGACGGUGUCCACCUUAAUGGGAAAGUUGCGAAAGGUGAUGGGAAGGAUGAACCUCUGUUUACGAUGGAGGCAGGCAAAACGUACAAGUACAGGAUUUGCAAUACGGGUAUCAAGACAUCUCUGAACGUCAGGUUCCAGGGCCACACCAUGAAAUUGGUUGAGAUGGAGGGUUCCCACACAAUGCAGAAUGACUAUGACUCCCUUGAUGUGCAUGUUGGACAGUGCUUCAGUGUGCUUGUUACUGCCAACCAGGAACCAAGGGAUUACUAUGUGGUGGCCUCUACCCGUUUUACCAGACGUGAGGUUACAGCAACCGGCAUCAUCCGUUACAAGAAUGGCAAGGGAGCUGCCUCAUCCGAGUUGCCACCACCACCUGUUGGUUGGGCUUGGUCACUCAAUCAAUUCCGUACCUUCCGUUGGAACUUGACUUCUAACGCUGCUAGGCCUAACCCUCAGGGCUCCUACAAAUAUGGUUCCAUUAACAUUACCCGCACCAUCAAGCUUGCCAACACUGCACAAAGAGUAGAUGGCAAGCUCCGAUAUGCUCUUAAUGGAGCCUCCUAUGUCGAACCAACCACUCCACUAAAACUUGCAGAAUACUACGGCGUAGCCGACAAGGUUUUCAAGUAUGAUACCAUUCCCGAUGAGCCACCAAGUGACAACACUAAGGUAACUUUGGCACCUAUUGUCCUCAACAUGACACACAGAAACUUUGUGGAAAUCAUCUUCGAGAAUCCCGAGACCGCCAUUCAGUCUUACCACUUGUCUGGCUACUCAUUCUUUGCCGUGGGGUAAGUAUAGCUUCUAACGUAACAAAUACAUGUGGUGAUUUUAUUGCCUGAGUUGAAGUAAUAAGUUGUAUAAUGAUUUGUUGCAGCAUGGACAUUGGGAAAUGGAGCCCUGAGAAGAGGAUGAACUACAAUCUUCUCGACGCCGUGAGCAGACACACCAUACAGGUAUUCCCCAACUCCUGGUCAGCAAUCCUAUUGACAUUCGACAACUGCGGGAUGUGGAACCUGAGGUCGGAGAUAUGGGACAGGCAUUACCUUGGGCAACAGCUUUAUGCUAGUGUUAUUUCCCCUAACCGAUCCCUCAAGGAUGAGUACAACUUGCCGGAAGGUGUAUUGACUUGCGGCAUCGUGCAAGGCAUGCCAAGGCCUCCACCUUUCAGCAGUUAAUUUAAAUAAGCUUAUAAAUCUGUAUCCAAUUCUGGUGUAUGGGGAGAGAGAGGGUGAGAAAAGCUUGAGUUCCAAAUGUAUUUAAUGAAAUAAAAUAUUUUGGACCAUUUGUUUGUAUUCAAGUCAUCCGCAAGCUUUCAACAAUUUCAUUGCUGCCAUGUUUUAAUUCUAAUUACUGUGUUGAUUAUUAAAAUCAUAUAAUGCAUUAAUAAGAAAAACCAUCACAAAAUAGUGUGCAUCACUAAAACAAUUAAUGAAUAGACCAACUUUCUGUUUUCUUCUUCCCUUUUCUAUUUUCUGCUUUCUGUUUCGGUUCAUAACAGAACCAGGAGACAAAACAUCCCUCAGUCCACUCCUGCAAGGUAAGAUUCUCCCAAGAAAUUUACUACUGUUCCCUCUUCCAAAGAAGAAGAUACUCUACUGCAAAAGAAAGAGCAAACAAUUUUGUCAACCGUCUGCACCAACAGAUAUUUGCUGUGUACAAAGAAGCACUUCAUUGAGUAGAAUGACUUGCUACAAUUUGUUGCUUUUGUAAAACCAUAUGCCGAGGAGGGGGUUUAUGGGUUUUAUGUCAAUCUUCUCAAGUCUGUCAAUAAGUCUUCGAGCAAACUCUUCCACAAAGCUUAUAUUCGAGGAAGAUGGUAUAAUUUUGGCCCUACACAAAUUUGGGAGCUAUUGCUUCACUCAUGCUUGAUAGAUGUCAAGCUAGAUGAAUUUUAUGGUAUAAUGGUCAAAACCAUCACCAAUGGAGUUCACCUUACCUUGCCCACAAGCUUCUACUCUAGAGCCCACUUAUGCUGGCCUGUUUGCUAUUGCAACCAGAAACUGGAUUCCUAAUAGCCAAAGGAAUACAGUUACAAAGAAGAUUGUUACUCUGCUUAGGAAGAUUUGUGAUGUGAUUCAAUUUGACUUGGGAGAGCUUAUUUUUCAGGAAAUCAUCAAACAUACUAAUUUUGUUUACCCCAUGUUAUGUCUUUCUUUCCAUUCACUUAAUUUUUCAGAUUCUUUAUAAUCAAAAUCAUGAAAUUGUAUUGGCUACUGAAAAAUAUGAAAGGAAGCCUAUAGAGUUGAAGUAUUCAUACAAGUGGCUUGAAGGGAAACACCAGGUUGCACUCCCUGAAGCAGUUCCUGAUGUUGUGGCCCAGCCUGUUGGAGUUGGCACAAAGGAAGACAUUUCAUCUCCAACAUCUUGAUGCUGAGAUUGCCUCCCAAGAAAAAGGUCAUUCAACAACUUCAAGCCAAUGUUCGACGAGUCAAAGCAUUGUGGAAUGAUCUCCUGGCCAAGCUGCUUCAGUUGGGGUUUGGAAAAUCUCUUGAACUAAAAGGGGGAGUGGUAUAAAGGACUUGGCACUACAGGUGACACUACUGCAAUUAGUAUCAUGUUUUUUCUUUUCUUAGUAUGAUGAUUUUUCUGUGCCAGAAUCACCAUAAACUUAGGGUUUCAGUUGUCAUGUGGGGAUGAAAUAAUUUACCACCCCAAUAUUGGGAUUCCAAUUCUCAUCAAAGAAUUUGCAACCCUCAGUUUCAGAAGCUAUCUGCUAAGUGAAAUUUGUUUUAUUUUAAUGUUUUUGGGUUGUAAUUUUGAAGACUCUAACUUGAAUUAUGUUUAUUUUAAUUGAUAUUUUAUAAAGGCUAUUCUCACUACCUAUGCAUUAAUGAUUAUUUUGCUUGAUUAUGUUUGUAUUUGAAGUAGGAUGGAUUAAGGGUGAGCUAAAAUUGAAAUUUUUUUAUUUAGGUAUUUUAAGAUUUUAAAUUAAUAAAAAUAGAAUUGUACGUUGGCUCCUUUAAAAUGAUAAAAAUUUGAUUUAACCUUAUAAAAAUUAUAAAGACAUAGGCUAUUAAAAUUGUGAAAUUGCACUUUUGCUAUCGUAAAAAAUUACAAUUUAAUUUCGGUCCCCUAAACAAAUUUUCUGGCUUUGCCUUUGAUUUCUUGGAGAGAGCAUUUGUUAUCGUGAACUUACCAAUACUAUGCAAAUUUUCUAUUUAAUAUUUAUUUUUGUAUGAUUAAUAUUUAACUAUCAUAAUUUCAAUUCUGAUUAAAUUUUAAAUAUUUAACUAUAUUUUUUUAAUGUAAAAACUUUGAACCAUUAAAUAUAUAUAUUAAUAAAGAUGGUAUUUAGAUUAAUACGAAAUUUUACUUGCAUGAUAAAUAAAAUAAUAAAUUCAACAGUUAAAAACAUUAGUUAACUUUUAUUUGUUAAUAAUUCGUUAAUUUAUGUAAGUUUUUACAUAUUUAUCUAUUUGGAUUGUGAUUGUAUUAUUUUUUCAUUAUAUCCUAUUUUAAUAUUUUUUAUAUUAUUUACGAAAAUAACUACAUUUAAAAAAAUAAAAUAAAUUUCACACACACUGUAAAUAGAAAAAAUGAAAGAAUUUAUUAUUGAAUGACAUAUAGUAGCUGAAUGAUGAUUACAUCAAGAAAAUUAAUUUAUUGGAAAAGUCAGCAUUAGUCACUACAAAGGUCGUUUUAUGUGCAUUUGAAGCAGAACUGGUUCCAGGUUUAUAUAAGCUUUAAAUUAGGUGUAAGCUGGUGGUGGCCUUGGCAUGCUUUCCACAACACCGCAAACUAGUGCACUCUCAGGCAUGUUGUAUUCGUCCCUGAGUGAUUUGUUAGGGGAAACAACACUAACAUAAAGCUGUUGCCCAAGGUAAUGCCUGUCCCAUACCUCUGACCUGAUGUUCCACAUUCCACAGUUGUCGAAUGACAAUAGGAUAGCUGCCCAGGACUUGGGGAAAACCUGUAUGGUGUGUCUGCUCACGGCAUCAAGAAGAUUGUAGUUCUUCCUCUUCUCAGGGCUCCAUUGCCCAGUCUCGACACUGCAACAAAUGAUUAUAGAAUUUAGUUAAACGGAAAGUAAUGACUAUAUACUAGAAGAAUUUGAAGACCAAAUACUUACGCCACAGCAAAGAAGGCAUAGCCACACAAGUGAUAAGACUGGAUGGCUGUUUCGCGAUUCUCGAAGAUGAUUUCCAUAAAGUUUCUGUGUGUCAAAUUGAGGACAACAGGUUCCAUGGUUACUUUAGUGAUCUCAGCUGGUGGGUCAUCAGGAAUGGUAUCAUACUUGAAAACCUUGUCAGCUACGCCGUAGUAUUCUGCAAGUUUUAGUGGAGUGGUUGGUUCGACAUAGGAGGCUCCAUUAAUAGCAUAUCGAAGCUUGCCAUCUACUUUUUGAGCAGUGUUGGCCAGCUUGAUGGUACGGGUAAUGUUAACGGAACCAUAUUUGUAGGAGCCCUGAGGGUUAGGCCUAGCAGCGCUGGCAGUCAAGUUCCAACGGAAGGUACGGAAUUGAUUGAGUGACCAAGCCCAACCAACUGGUGGUGGUGGCAACUUAGGUGAGGGUGCGCCCUUGCCAUUGGUGUAACGGAUGACACCAGUUGCUGUAACCUCGCGUUUGGUAAAACGGGUAGAGGCCACAACAAAGUAAUCCUUUGGUUCUUGGUCGGCUGUAACAAGCACAGCGAAGCACUGUCCAACAUGAACAUCAAGGGAUUCAUAGUCAUUUUGCACUGUGUGGGAACCUUCCAUCUCAACCAAUUUCAUGGUGUGGCCUUGGAACCUGACGUUCAGAGAUGUCUUGAUACCCGCAUUGCAAAUCCUAUACUUGUAGGUUUUGCCUGCUUCCAUGGUGAAGAGAGGUUCAUCGCUACCAUCACCUUUAGCAACUUUUCCAUUAAUGUGGACACCAUCACAUCUACCAAGGUUGCGACCGCUCUCAAGAAUUUUCUUGAGGGUGGUGUGUCCCUUGUUGAAAAAAUCUCCUGCUAUGAUAGUAUAGUCAUCAGCUGGAUCAGCAUAGGGGACAGGAAUGAGUAAACGACUGUUAAUACGAAGGCCACCGAAACCACCAACCGCCUUAUGCAUAGCCGUCACUGGAUAAUAGAUGAAGCUGCCAAUUUGGUCCUUCACCUGGAAUUUAUAGGUGUAAUUCGUCCCGGGGGGGAUAGGACAGUUGGUUCCAAGCACACCAUCUUGCCAAGGAUUCUUCCUAUGCUGCACGCCACUCCUGCAACAAAAUUCAUUUCCAUAUAUAUAUAUAUAUAUAAUUAAGCUCAACUCUUUACUAAUAUAAUCAAGGGAAAAAAAAGUACUCUUGUUUACCAUGUCAAAAGGAAUGGCUCAUCAAGGUUGUUAAACACAUUGACUAUAACAUUGUUGUUGGUGGUAGAGUUCAUAUUUGGCCCAGGGAAUUGCCCGUUAAUGAGAAUACCUUUUACGGGAACACCCAAAGGAGAUAUGGUGCCAUAAGUGACCUUCCACUCGAAACUAAUGGUGGGAUCUCCACCUUGAACCAUAAGCAGUGAUCCUACCCAGAGAAAAAACACCACUAUUAUCGUCAAUGGAGCCAUUUUGUUGGCUUUAAAGUCUCUUAUGUAAUUUUAUGAAAUUUUAUGAAUUAAGGCUGUUUAUCCCCUCUUAGAGGAAGAAGAUUUGUUUGAGAUGAUUUGAGUUGCAUGUUGGCUUACCCUUUUAUACAACACAACUCCUUCUAAUACAAUCAUUCUUCACCAUUCAAUUUUUCUCUUGAAAUCCUUAAAUUGCGCACAUCCAUUUGUUUAUUUUCUUUUAGUAUAUACUAUUUUUAACAUUAACCAAUUUGAUUUUACUGUGAUUCUCUUUUGUUCUAAUAUAAUAUUUGCACAUUAAUUCAUUGUGUGGACGGCUAAUAUUUUAUGACUAAUGCAUCUUCAUCAAAAUAUUUAAUCCUUACCAUAAUUAUUUUUUAAUUAUAUGGACGAUAUAAACGUGAAGAAAACACAAAUAAGAAUUUAACAUGAAACCAAAUCGACAUUAGAGAAAAAAAACAUAUAUAAGAAAUAUUCUAAAUUUAUAAAUAUAUAUAUGAUGCUCAAUUUUUUUCCUAUAUUUUUAAAAUUAAAAUUCUAGUUUUAUAUGGAUUUUGAUAUACAUUAAUUUAUAAAUGUACAUAUUACUAUUAUUUUUAUAUUCACAUCAUGCUCAAAUUCUCUUUCCUAUAUUUUUAUUUGUGAAAUUUUGGUUUUCUAUUCUUUUAUAUGUUGGCACUGUUGGAGCUAAGUGCAACAAAUAGCAAGGUUCAACAAAAAGCUUGCCGAGCAAGAAUCGAGACUUGCGGCAGAAACAAAGAAGAAAAAUGAAAUAAAUUUUAAGCAAAGUUAAAAUAGAGAGUAUAUGGAUGAAAUCUUGAUUGAAUUCAUUCAUUUUUUUAAAAUGGCAUAAAGCCUAUUUAUACAAGCUUACAACUUGACAACUUAGUUGGAAUACAACUAAGUUUCAUCAUUACAUCCACUUAAAAUAAAUCACCACCUACUACCACUAACAAACUUAGUUGGAAUACAACUAAGUUUCAUCAUUACAUCCACUUAAAAUAAAUCACCAGCUACUACCACUAACAAACUUAGUUGGAAUACAACUAAGUUACAUCAUUACAUCCAAAUAAUAAUAAUAAUAAUAAUAAUAAUAAUAAUAAUAAUAAUAAUAAAACAUGUGAUUGCUACAUGCUAACCAUUGCUUCAAUACUCCUCCUUGGUUUGCAUGGAGCAAACACCUAGCUUCCUUCUUAGACAUUCGAACCUUGUGACAUUAAGGGCUUUAGUCAAAAUGUCUACAAGUUUAUCCUCAGAAUUACAAUGGAUCAGCUUCACUUCCUGAGCUUGCUCCAUUUCUCGAACAACAUGCAACUUGAUGCUGAAAUGCUUUGUUCUUCCAUGGAACACUGGAUUUUUAGCAAUUGCAACUGAAGAUUGGUUGUCACAGAAGAUCUCAGUAGCUUCCUUUUGAUGCACUUUCAAAUCAGCUAAGAUUUUUCUUAGCCAAAUGGCUUGGUUGACAGCACUUGCAGCUGCCACAUAUUCUGCUUCAGCAGUAGAUUGAGCCACCAGACUUUGCUUCUUCGAGCUCCAGCAAAACAUGGCUGAACCAAGGUUGAAAGCAUACCCUGAGGUGCUUUUCAUGUCAUCUAUCGAGCCAGCCCAGUCACUAUCAGUGUAGCCAACCAGCUUCAGAUUUCCUUCCUUGCUGUACCUUAAACCAUAGCUCAAAGUGCCUUUGACAUAUCUAAGCACUCUCUUAGCAGCUUGUAAAUGCUUUUUAUUGCAACAAUGCAAGAACCUUGAGAGCAAUCCUACAGCAUACAUUAUGUCUGGUCUAGUGGCAGUUAAAUAUAACAGACAACCAACUAGACUUCUGUAGGUUGUUUCACAAACCUUCUCAAAAUCACCUUGGCUCGAUAGUUUUUCUCCAACAGCAACAGGUGUUUUAGUUGCUUUACUGUUUUGCAUGGAGAACUUGGUCAGAAUCUUUGUGGCAAAGUUUCUCUGACUUAGAAAUAUCCCAUUUUGUGCUUGAGUCACCUCCAUUCCAAGGAAAUAAGACAUUUCCCCUAGAUCAGACAUUUCAAAUACUUCUUGCAUCUUGGUCUUGAAAUCGACCAGCACUGCUCGAUCUCCUCCUGUCACCAGCAGGUCAUCAACAUAUAGGGAUACAAUGAGCUGUGUUUGUGUCCCUUGCUUCUUAACAUACAGUGUUGGCUCACUCUUGCUUCGAUCGAAUCCCAAAUUAGUCAAGUAGCCAUCGAUUCUGCUGUACCAGGCCCUUGGAGCCUGUUUUAAGCCAUAUAGGGCCUUCUUCAGUUUGUAGACCAUAUGCUCUCUGCCAGCUAUCUCAAACCCUUGUGGUUGUUCAACAUAGAUCUCUUCAUCUAAGAAACCAUUCAGAAAAGGCUGAUUUCACAUCGAGUUGAUGGAUCUUCCACUCGAGCUAUGCUGCUAAGGCAAUCAGUAAUCUGAUGGUGUCUAGCUUGGCCACUGGUGCAAAGGUCUCCAGGUAGUCCAGGCCAUACCUCUGACUGAACCCCUUGACAACUAGCCUUGCUUUCAGUUUGUUCAAGGUACCAUCAGCAUUUUGCUUGGCUUUGUACACCCAUUUCACCCCAAUUAUCUUCCUUUUGACUGGCCUUUCAACUAAUUCCCAGGUCUGGUUCUUCUCAAUCAUGCUAAUCUCCUCAGCCAUUGCCUGCUUCCACUCUUGCUGAGCUUCAGCCUCUUCAAAAUUUCUUGGUUCAGCUAUGGCUACAUGAGCUCUUUCAUAAAUCUCAGUCAAUGGUCUUGUUCCUCUAACUGGUUCAUCAUCAAUGUCCAUUUCAGGAACAUUUUGAUCUGGCUCAGCUUGAUCUGCUGCAAGUCCUUCUGAAACUUCCUCAGGAUCAUGUUUUUCCCAGUUCCAACAUGACUUUUCAUCAAAUACCACAUCCCUACUGACUGACACUUUCUUUGUUGAAGGAUCCAAGAUCCUAUAGCCCUUCUUAACAGUGCUGUAGCCCACCAAAAUACCAGGUCGAGCCCUUUCAGAUAAUUUGUCCCUUUUGACAGCAGGUACAUGAGCAUAACAGAUGCAUCCAAAGACCUUCAGAUGAGCCAGUGAUGGCUUGAAUCCAAACCAGGCUUCGAAUGGAGUCUUCUGAUCCAAGGCCUUGGUUGGAAGCCUAUUUUGAAUGUAGUUUGCAGUGUUAACUGCCUCUGCCCAUAGUGCUUUAGGCAGAUUCUUCUGAAUCAUCAAGCACCUGGCCAUAUCCAUCAAACUCUUAUUCUUUCUUUCGCUUACACCAUUUUGCUGAGGUGUAUAUGUGUUGGUAAGUUGAUGUUUGAUGCCUGCCUUAUCACAGAAGGCUUGGAACUGAGCUGAGGUGUACUCAGUCCCAUUAUCAGACCUUAUGGACUUCAGCUUGCAACCUGUUUCAGUCUCAGCAGCAGUCUUGAACUUCCAAAACACUGAGGCCGCCUCUGAUUUCUGUUUUAGGAAGUAAAGCCAGCAAUAUCUUGAAAAAUCAUCAAUGAACAGUAUGAAGUACCUGUUUCCACUUAAUGACUCAGUCCUCAUAGGGCCACACACAUCAGUGUGCACCAGUUGGAGUUUUUCAGAGGCUCUCCAGGCUUGAUUCGAGGGAAAUGGGAGUCUGGCCUGCUUUCCUAGCUGACACACUUCACACACAUCAUCAUGAUCCACUGAGUUGAUGAAGUUUUCAGCCAAGUCCUCUCUGACCAUUCGAGCCAUCGAUCUGAAGUUGGCAUGUCCCAGUCUUUGAUGCCAAAGCUUGGAUUCAUCUGAUGUGACUGUGUAGGCAAUGUCUGACUCCCUGGUCCAGUCAACUACAAAGCUCUUAUUAGCCAUAGGAACUGCCAUCAGCUUGGAUCCACUUGGAUCAUUGAUUUGGCAUUGGUUGUCUUUGAACACAACAGAAUAACCUUUCUCCAGCAACUGAGCUAUGCUGAGCAGGUUUCUGUCAAUUUCAGGCACCAAAAGCACAUUUGAAAUCACUUUGGCACCUGUGGGGGUGCAUAUCAGCACAUCACCCUUGCCUUCAGCUUGAAUAAAAUGUCCAUUUCCUAUCUUGACUUUAGUUCUGCAGCUUCUGUCUAAAGACUUGAAGAUUACAGCAUCAGGUGUCAUGUGGUUGGUGCAUCCACUGUCUAGAAGCCAACCAGAUGAGAACCUUUCUUGAGCAGCUGAGCAUAACACAGCAAAGACUUGCUCCUCUUGGUCACUGUCCUCCUUAGCUACUCGAGCCUCAGCUUUCUUCUGUUGAAACUGACUCUGCCUUGAUUUGGCCUUGCUCUUGCAGACUCUCUCAACAUGACCCUUCUUUUUACAAUGCUGACAUACAACAUCUGGAUUGAACCAGCAUUUUUCUUUUGGAUGACCAGCCCUUCUACAGUGCUUGCAAGUCUGACCCUCUUUUCUUGCAACAUCAGUCCUUGGCUUGUCUCUCCAGGCCUUCUUGCCUUUGUAGGCAGUGUUUGUUCUUGCCUGAAAGGCACCUUCUUGAUGCUCCUCCAGUCUGCUUGCUCUUCUUUGCUCUUGAGCAUAUAAAGCAUUGAUCAACUCUGUCAGGAAGAUGGUGUACAGGUCCCUUGAGUCCUCGAGAGAUGAGAUUUUUGCCUCAUACCUCUCGGGCAGAGUUGCAAUAACCUUCUCCACUAUCCUAGCUUCCUUGAGCUGCUCUCCAAGGAGCCUUAUGCUGUUAACCACAGCCAUAAUCCUGUUAGAGUACUGCUUGAUAGUUUCUUCUUCCUUCAUCUUCAAAUUCUCGAAAUCUCUCCUUAAGUUCAGCAACUGUUGCUGCCUUGUCCUCUCUGUCCCUUGAAACUCCUCUUGCAACUUGUCCCAGGCUUGUUUUGGUGAUUCACAGGCCAUAAUCCUUGUGAAAAUCACAUCUGACACUGAGUUCUGGAUGCAAGACAUGGCUUUAUGCCUCUUGGUCCUCUCAUCAGCAUGCUGCCUGAUUUGAGCCACUGUUGGAUUGCCUCUAAGUGGCUCUGGUUCAACAUCUGAGUUGACUACCUCCCACAGAUCGAAAGCUUGUAGGUAGGUCUUCAUUUUAACCACCCAUAUGUGGUAGCCUUCUCCAUUGAAGACUUGAGGUGCAGCUGGUGAAAAGCUUGAUGAAGCCAUGAAUUUGUAUAACAGAUCCCUUAAGAAAUAGGCUCUUGAUACCAAUUGUUGGAGCUAAGUGCAACAAAUAGCAAGGUUCAACAAAAAUCUUGCCGAGCAAGAAUCGAGACUUGCGGCAGAAAAAAGGAAGAAAAAUGAAAUAAAUUUUAAGCAAAGCUAAAAUAGAUAGUAUAUGGAUGAAAUCUUGAUUGAAUUCAUUCAUUUUUUUAAAAUGGCAUAAAGCCUAUUUAUACAAGCUUACAACUUGACAACUUAGUUGGAAUACAACUAAGUUUCAUCAUUACAUCCACUUAAAAUAAAUCACCACCUACUACCACUAACAAACUUAGUUGGAAUACAACUAAGUUUCAUCAUUACAUCCACUUAAAAUAAAUCACCACCUACUACCACUAACAAACUUAGUUGGAAUACAACUAAGUUACAUCAUUACAUCCAAAUAAUAAUAAUAAUAAUAAUAAUAAUAAAACAUGUGAUUGCUACAUGCUUGGGUUUGUGCUCAGUGUUUUGGGUUGAAGCUUGGAUAAAAGGGCUUAAAUAUUGCAUAGAACAAGGGGUUUCACAGAGUGGGAGUUGAAAACAACAAUGCUGAGCUUCUUUCUUUACUUGAUGACCAAAAUGGAGAGUCAAGUUCUUGUAAGACACAUCCAAAUUCUUUUCAAUCACAAAUUGAAACUUACAUAAAUAUAGAGGCAGAUUGUUUGGGAAAAAUGAGCCAAAGUAGAUUUUAUUUCAUAUAAAUACCAAUGAUCAGGCCUUUCAGAGGCACACUGGUUGAGUUGAGAUAUCCUUUUAUAUGCUAUAAGCCUCGAUUGCUCGUUUUCCUUUUCUGUCUCGUACCUCCUCUCUUUAUCGUUGUGCCCAUGAACACUCUUUGUUUCCCUACUACGAUUGCACAGCUCAUUACUACCUUCUGAACGUUCCACAACCAUAUUUUACACAGUUACCCCCAUUUUCAUUUUCUUGGACUAAUGAGCAAAAUCUAACACCCUUUAUGUUACUUGAAAUUUCAUCGUCACUUUUAUCCAAAUGCCUACUAGCCCUCCUGCACCGAUGAUCAUCACAACCUGACAAAGGUCAAACCUCACUAGAGGUAAAGCCACCAUCACAGCCAAGGACAUUGGACUCACAUUAUCUAGAUUUGCAAUUAAUUCGUUGACGUCCUCUUCACUUGAUGAACGAAUCACUUCAACUUCUAACACUUUCAGAUCAAUAUUUUCUGGCCAACCGCUUUUAUUUGGAUUUGCAGAACAACACUUACCUUACUCUGUAGUCUCUGAUCCAUGUAUUUAACUUAGCUCUUUUUGCUGGUUUCUAUUCUAAGAGUAAUUGACGUGCUAAGUGAAGAUAGUAGGAACUUUUAGCUCCUACGCUCUAAUGUUUUUUUUUUUUUUUUGCAUUAUGGCUAGUUGAGCCUUCCUUUGUACAAAAAGAACUAGUUUAAUCUAAUAGUUGAAUCUCAAAUUUAAAUAGUUGUUAUUCACUUUUCAAGCCACCACGAACAUAUUAUGGAAAUUAGAGGGACAGAAACAAGGUAGCUGAUUCAUUGUCCAAACUACAAGUUUCAGAAGAUUUUGGAAUAAAGUGCUCACUCGACCCCUCAGAGAAAUCGAUACAUUAUUGUUAUUAGACAAAUUGGGGUCAUGCCAUCCCAAUGGUAUUUUGAUGUAGAACAGUAAUGCCUAUUUGAAUUUCCCUUGUCUUUGAACUCUAGAAUUUUCUUGUAUUUAAUUUAGUCAUUGAUUUAUUUGGAUAGGUAUUAAAAGUAAAUUUUGAUGAUUGGCAUUCUAAUUAGUCAAAAUUCUCUUUGGGAUCGAUAUUUUAUACCACUUGUAACGAUACAUAUACUUGCGUGUGAUAUUCGAUUAAGUUCAGAGCACCUUUUGUUCAAAAUAAUGGUGUUUUACGAAUAACUAUGCUUAGAACAAUUUCUAUUUAGUAGAAUUGUAUUUUUUCGAAAGAGUCAUUAUUCAGAAUAAGUUCUACCAAACGGAGCAUUACCAUAGAACAACUUUUGUUUGAAACAAGUAAGAAUAACCCUUUUCCAUGAACAACUCUCGUUCAAGAACAUCCAUUGUCUUGCAUUCUAAGAGAUGUUCUGCGGUAAAGGUUUCACAAGAUACCGCUUCACCAAAGUAGAAGAAGUGAAAAUAACCUACGACAGAGUUCUCGGGUUGUCUUCACUCUUGAGAUUUUCCGGAGAACUUGGCUUGGUAGAUUAAAUAUGGAGAUAAUUAAAUAGUUUCCUCUUAACAUUUUCCUCUAACAUUGAGUGUUUUUCCUUUAUUUCAAAAAUAUGGUGAACAUUUCUUCAAUAUUCAUCAUUAUCAUCACCAAAAAGGCCAUUCACCAUCCCGUCUUAACCAUAUAUUGCCAUUGCAAUUGAAACCUAAUUUCAUUACUCAUAUUAAAUACCUAGUAUAAAUAGGAGCCCAUCACAACUAGUUGAGUGACUUUUUGGCACUUUGAUACUCUAAUUCUCAAAGCUCUCUAAAAUUCUUUCAACUUUUGUUGUUGUUGUUGUUUAGCCUUAUCAUCAACUACAAUUCCCUUUCUCUUGCUUAUCAAACAUCACUUGUUGCUGUGAUCAAUGUUAUAGGAUCAGCUCUAGUAUUCUUCUCUGCCUUCUUUCGAUAUAUCAUGUUCACUUAUUUAUAAAGCUCCCUCUGAACCCUCUACAAUGUUUUAAUUUUAUCUAUAUUACUCUCAUAGAAUACCACAAAUGGAUAUAUGAUGUUAUUAGUAUGUUAUAAUCUCUAAAAAAAUGAAAUUAGUUAUAAAUUUCUUUUCAUAUUAUUUAUUCAAUUUGAACUUUUAUGGUGGGUCAUAAUUUAAUUAUAUAUGAAGUUUCACUUAAUAUCAACUGUCUAUAAUGAUUAUAUAAUAAUGGAGGUUAAUGUUACUUUAAUACAUUUCAUAUUUAUAUAUUUAAAUUAAGAAAAUAACUAAAAGAACUCUCAUCAGAGUAACCAUCGUCCUAAAAAAAAGGUUAGCCAUCAGCACAGUGGAUGUGCAAAUCCUUGAUGGAAAAGAAGAGAAUGAUAAACUCAAAAUGAUUAGUGUUAAAAACAGUAUUUGCUAAAAGCAAGGAAAUAAAUGAAUGGAUGAGCGUAUUCUAAGGGAUUAAGAUGGAAGAAUUGAAGAGGUUGUGUGGUAUAAAAGGAGAGGUAUGCAUGCAAUUCAAAAUCAACUCAAGCAAACCAUCUUCCUCUUCCUCUAGAAGGGGAUAAUUAAUAAAUUACUGUCGGGCGAAAAAAAAGGGUAAGAGAUGGCUCGAUUAAUGUUAAUAUCGAUGCUAUUUCUCUUGGCAGGAUCAAUGCUUAUGGUCCAGGGCGGAGAUCCCACCCUUUUUUUCGAAUGGAACGUCACCUAUGGCACCAUUGCUCCCUUGGGAGUGCCAGUAAAGGGUAUUCUUAUUAACGGGCAAUUCCCGGGACCAAAUCUUAACUCUACCACCAACAACAAUAUCGUGGUUAAUGUGUUCAAUAACCUUGAUGAGCCAUUCCUUGUAACAUGGUAAGCGACUACCAAGAGUAGUUUCUUUUUUACAUUAAUAUGAUUAUGCUAGUGAAGAGUCGAGCUAAUUAUCUGUGGAAAUGGGAUUUGUUGCAGGGACGGCGUGCAGCAUAGGAAGAACUCUUGGCAAGAUGGUGUUCUGGGAACCAACUGUCCUAUCCCCCCUGGGAAGAAUUACACCUAUAAAUUCCAGGUGAAGGAUCAGAUUGGCAGCUACAUGUACUAUCCGGUGACGGCUAUGCACAAGGCGGUUGGUGGUUUCGGUGGCCUCCGUGUUAACAGCCGUCUACUCAUCCCUGUUCCCUACGCUGAUCCGGCUGAUGACUAUACUCUCUUAGUGGGAGACUUUUUCAACAAGGGACACACCAGCCUCAAGAAGAUUCUUGAUAGCGGUCGCAACCUUGGGAGAUGUGACGGUGUCCACCUUAAUGGGAAAGUUGCGAAAGGUGAUGGGAAGGAUGAACCUCUGUUUACGAUGGAGGCAGGCAAAACGUACAAGUACAGGAUUUGCAAUACGGGUAUCAAGACAUCUCUGAACGUCAGGUUCCAGGGCCACACCAUGAAAUUGGUUGAGAUGGAGGGUUCCCACACAAUGCAGAAUGACUAUGACUCCCUUGAUGUGCAUGUUGGACAGUGCUUCAGUGUGCUUGUUACUGCCAACCAGGAACCAAGGGAUUACUAUGUGGUGGCCUCUACCCGUUUUACCAGACGUGAGGUUACAGCAACCGGCAUCAUCCGUUACAAGAAUGGCAAGGGAGCUGCCUCAUCCGAGUUGCCACCGCCACCUGUUGGUUGGGCUUGGUCACUCAAUCAAUUCCGUACCUUCCGUUGGAACUUGACUUCUAACGCUGCUAGGCCUAACCCUCAGGGCUCCUACAAAUAUGGUUCCAUUAACAUUACCCGCACCAUCAAGCUUGCCAACACUGCACAAAGAGUAGAUGGCAAGCUCCGAUAUGCUCUUAAUGGAGCCUCCUAUGUCGAACCAACCACUCCACUAAAACUUGCAGAAUACUACGGCGUAGCCGACAAGGUUUUCAAGUAUGAUACCAUUCCCGAUGAGCCACCAAGUGACAACACUAAGGUAACUUUGGCACCUAUUGUCCUCAACAUGACACACAGAAACUUUGUGGAAAUCAUCUUCGAGAAUCACGAGACCGCCAUUCAGUCUUACCACUUGUCUGGCUACUCAUUCUUUGCCGUGGGGUAAGUAUAGCUUCUAACAUAACAAAUACAUGUGGUGAUUUUAUUGCCUGAGUUGAAGUAAUAAGUUGUAUAAUGAUUUGUUGCAGCAUGGACAUUGGGAAAUGGAGCCCUGAGAAGAGGAUGAACUACAAUCUUCUCGACGCCGUGAGCAGACACACCAUACAGGUAUUCCCCAACUCCUGGUCAGCAAUCCUAUUGACAUUCGACAACUGCGGGAUGUGGAACCUGAGGUCGGAGAUAUGGGACAGGCAUUACCUUGGGCAACAGCUUUAUGCUAGUGUUAUUUCCCCUAACCGAUCCCUCAAGGAUGAGUACAACUUGCCGGAAGGUGUAUUGACUUGCGGCAUCGUGCAAGGCAUGCCAAGGCCUCCACCUUUCAGCAGUUAAUUUAAAUAAGCUUAUAAAUCUGUAGCCAAUUCUGGUGUAUGGGGAGAGAGAGGGUGAGAAAAGCUUGAGUUCCAAAUGUAUUUAAUGAAAUAAAAGGUGUAUUUCUGCAUGCCUGCAAGUUGGUUAAAACUGAACAUGGAUGUAAAAUUUGCUUUAUAAUCGCAUGAAAGAUGGUUUAGAUUGAAAUUGAUGGUUCUACUAUUUCCGCUGUGUAACAAGGAAGAGAGUCUCGAAAGGCAAAUCGACGAAACAAAAAUCAAAUUAGUUUUUCUUAAAUGACACUACUUUUAAUAACCUGGACUUUAAAUUUAGUCAGACUUAAUAAUUUGAUGGUUUUUGAGGAAUUUAGACAAAAAUGUUAUGUUUUCUAAAAAGAUAGUCAAAGUAGAAGUUUUAAGUUUUACUUAGCCAUUUCGAUUAACAGUGUAGCAUUUAGAAUCUGGCUGGGCCGAAUUUAGGAAGUUACACCUCUAAUAUACCCUUACUUUUGACAAAGUUAGCAACAAAGAUUUCCUGAUUUCAGCUGUUCCAUAGGUUCCAACAGAUCACUCUAAAUAGCAUGUCCCCACUGGGCACCACCACAAGACAUGAUCAAUGGAUACAGAUCUAUUUGUACAAAAUUGGUAACAUCUAUCCUAAUAAUUUCUGCAUGCAUGCAAGUUAUCUUGAUUGAUAACUAAAAGGUGCAGGUGCAAAAGAGAGAUUACCCCUUCAACUGGUAUUGAUAUUGUUAAUGACUAGCAUGAUAUGCUACUUUGUUUUAAAAUUUUAAUAUUCUAAUAUUCAUUUGGAAAACACACCAAAAAAUUCUAAUAGUGGAACUAUCAAUUUCAUUCUAAACCAUCUUUCAUGCGAUUAUUAAGCAAAUUUUACAUUCACGUUCAGUUUUAACCAACUUGCAGGCAUGCAGAAAUUCAAACAUAAAAACCCAUGCCACCGUCCAAAAUUAACCAAAAUUACAGUCCCAAAUAGUAAAAAAACCAUGUUAAAACUUAGGUUAAAUUUUAAAAAAAUACUGCAUUAAAUAAAAAUCGAGACGAGACCUCCGAAUGUUGUGUCCAAUCCUAAUAUUGAGAGUUAUUUGUAAGAAGUAACUAAAGGAGUGAACUUAAAACAAUGUAUAUGCGUAAAAACAAUUAAUGAAGUAUACA
This 21283-nucleotide long non-coding RNA is filed under the name Gossypium barbadense (sea-island cotton). RNAcentral describes it as "long non-coding RNA (GBAR_LNC022779)". The record is from RNAcentral. Lineage: Eukaryota; Viridiplantae; Streptophyta; Magnoliopsida; Malvales; Malvaceae.